GACGAACGCUGGCGGCGUGCCUAAUACAUGCAAGUAGAACGCUGAAGGAGGAGCUUGCUUCUCUGGAUGAGUUGCGAACGGGUGAGUAACGCGUAGGUAACCUGCCUGGUAGCGGGGGAUAACUAUUGGAAACGAUAGCUAAUACCGCAUAAGAGUAGAUGUUGCAUGACAUUUGCUUAAAAGGUGCAAUUGCAUCACUACCAGAUGGACCUGCGUUGUAUUAGCUAGUUGGUGAGGUAACGCCUCACCAAGGCAACGAUACAUAGCCGAACUGUGAGGGUGAUCAGCCACACUGGGACUGAGACACGGCCCAGACUCCUACGGGAGGCAGCAGUAGGGAAUCUGCGGCAAUGGACGGAAGUCUGACCGAGCAACGCCGCGUGAGUGAAGAAGGUUUUCGGAUCGUAAAGCUCUGUUGUAAGAGAAGAACGAGUGUGAGAGUGGAAAGUUCACACUGUGACGGUAUCUUACCAGAAAGGGACGGCUAACUACGUG
RNAcentral lists this ribosomal RNA (495 nucleotides) under uncultured bacterium. RNAcentral's name for it is "partial 16S ribosomal RNA". It matches the Rfam family "Bacterial small subunit ribosomal RNA", at positions 28 to 507 of the family's 1533-position model. The record is from RNAcentral.